Molecule: long non-coding RNA, 203 nt
Filed under: Medicago truncatula (barrel medic)
Lineage: Eukaryota; Viridiplantae; Streptophyta; Magnoliopsida; Fabales; Fabaceae
Description: lncRNA gene36208
Source: RNAcentral
CCUAACAUCAAUUUCACCGCAUUUACCCCCUUCCUAAUCUCCUUUGUCACCAAAACCUUCAAAGUAAAUUGAUAGCUAAGUACAUUUAUCUUUCUUGAUUUUAUGUCAGAAUUAAAAUAUUAGUUUGCCUCUAAUUACUAUGAUCAUCCCCUCACAAAAGAAUUAAUGUAAGAGAAUUUUUGAAAUAAUAAAAUUAAUUAUGC